GUCCUAUAUGCCUCACUUAUCUGUAUGUCAAGCUCUUUUCCCCUGCUUGGGAAGUUUUCUGCCAUUAUUUCUGUGAAGAGGUUUUUUUAUGUCAUCUGCACUCUCUCCUGUUUCUUCAUUGAGCCCAAUCAGUCUUAUGUUAUUCUUUUUUGCAUCAUCUAGCAGCUGCUGGAUUGAUUUCUCAUGUUCCCUUAUAAUUUUGAAGCAAUUUUUCUUUUCCUGGUCACUAAUUGCAAUCUUAUCUUCUAUAUCUGAAAUUCUGUCCUCACAUUGGCUCAUUCUGCUGUGUAGACUUUCAUUGGAGUUUUUCAUGUCCUGGAAAUCUAUUUGCAUCUGUUUUAUGGAUUCCAUUUGUUUCUUAUGUUGGGAUUCCAUCAUGUUCCUCAGCUCCUCUCUAGAUUUAUUAACCAUGUCUUGCACUAGGGGCACAAUUUCUCCUGUUAUCUGAGAAAUUAUUUCUGAUUUCAUUUUUUCCAGAUCCCCUUUUGUUGCCAGUUCAGUGGGUCCAGGUAGUUGAGUAUCAGAGUGUUUCAUCUCAUUUCCCUUUGGGGCUGCUGUAGGUGACCUGGAAGUCUGGUUUUGAGACUUAUUUAUGUGUUUUCUCAUUUCAAGUGGGGCAGGGGGCUGUUAGCGCCUGCACAGAUUACCUCCUCUGAGCUGGAUGAGGUGGGGCAGGGGCCGGGAGCAGCGGUAGGGAUGGUGACCCUAAAGCCCUUUCCUGUGGGCUGGAAGCAGCCGGAGGGAUGGUGGCCAGGAAACCCCUUCCUCUGGACCAGGAGCAGUGGGAUGAUGGCUCAGAAGCCCCUCCCUCUGGGCUGGGAAUGGUGGGAGGGAUGGUUGCCUGGAAGCCCCUUCCUCUGGGCCAGGAGCAGCGGGACAGAAGGUGGCCCAAAAGCUCCUUCCUCUGGACCGGGAGCAGUGGGACAAUGGCUCAGAAGCCCCUACCUCUGGGCCGGGAACCGUGGGACUCAGUACCUUGGUCUGGUGGUCUGGUGCCCUCUGCGUCUUUGUAGUGUGGAAUCAGGUGGCUGCCUGUCUGCAGCGGGGUGAUUCAGUGUCUUCCCUGCGACUCAGGACUUCGGUAGGGCGUGGGCAGACCUGCCUGUCUGCAGCGGGCUGAUUCGGCGUGUUCUGUGCUACUCAGGACUUCGGUAGGGCAUCAACUUAGCGUAUCUUGAUGGGAAAAAAAUAGAUCUUAUGGAAGCAAGAGGUCAUAAAAUCUUACAGGAACAAAGUUAACAACAGCCAUAAGGUGGGGUGAAGUCUGAGGAGGAACUGCUUAGGGUUGGGGAGACUUGUUUUUCCUUUUCUUUAAAGUUUUGCUUUAGUAAGCUAUGUUAUUUAAAAACCUGAGAUAAAAAUUGGUAUUCAAGCAAAGAACUAUGUCUCAAUUGGCAAUGAAUAUGCCCUCUGUGUACUGAUUUGCUCCAUUGAGGAGACACAAUUUCACAUCUCUACACAGUCACCCACUUGCUGUUAUUCUGACCCUAACCCUAACCCUUUAAGAAACAGCAAGAAAUAUGGUAUCUCUUGUGAGUUUAUCAGAAGGUAGCUUUUCAAAUUUGAAAUAGCCUCACUGAUGCAUUUAGUGAUUUGGGCGUUUUUGUUUGUUUGUUUGCAGUCUGUCCCUGGAUAAUGUGUCAGAACAUGUAGAAUACAGUUUACCUCUGAUAUUUGUAUCUGUGCUCAGAUGAGAUCAAAGCACUACCUCUGUGUGUGUGCCUGGAGGUCUUACAGUUUGGGGACCUAGCUUGCCACAGGCUGGGAACUGAGGAGAAUCAAAGCUAGAAGGCCCCAUCCAGCAGCUGAUGCAGCCAAUCACAUGGAAGUGAAAGCCAGAGUGUGCUCAUCUGUAAUCCCAGAUGCUCAGGAGGCUGAUGGAAGAAGAAUCCCAUAUGAUGUGAGACAUUUCUACAUACCAAAAUAUUUCAAAGGUAGAUGCCCAAAAGAAAAGAAAGCAUAUAUUCAAACAAAAAGGGAUAUGUUGUCCACAUCUGUCAAAGUCAUGGCAAUGAAAGAGUCCUGGCAUGAGUUCCAGAAAAGAAAACUGGAUCCCAAUAAAAAAAGGAUUUUUGUCUCAUCCAAGAGAGACAGUGUCUAGUGGAUGCAUCUUAUCCUUUCAUCCCACUUGUGAGUUAUAAAUAAAAAUUAUUCUGCCUCGCAAGCGCAAGGACCCAAGUUUGAUCCCCGGUACCAAAAAGAAAAAUAAAUAAAUAAAUAAAAAUUAUUUUUACAAGCUCCAUCUUUUAAGUAUUAUGUGGUCUUUCUGGAUUUCAGACUACUCUCCAUCAAGAAACUAAUAACAGCCCCACAGCCACUAAUGAUCUUACUGUCGUACAAAUCACAAGUUUCAUGUAAGACCUUUCGAGGGGCAUUGAAUUUCUUGUAUUAGAAUUCCUAAACUAUGAUCCAAUGAUGUAAUAUUCUGGGUGCUUUCAUAGUUCCUGUGAUGUGACAGGCUGUGCAGAAGACCCACAGUAAAUUUGUCCCUAGAGUUCACCUAAAAUAUCACUAUAUUCAACAUAACACAAUUUGAAUUAAACAAUUAGAGGAAUGCAGUUGAACAUCCAGAAGAUUAAACCGUAAGGAAGGUACACUUAUUUGAAAGGGAGAGGUACUAAUAAAUGAUUAGGAUUUGACUAGAGAAAUAGGUGGGUCUAUAGUGCCGGGAGAGGAUCAAGAGUUUGUUCUAGAAAGGUAAACAGAAUAUGAAAAUCCCUGGGCACGGAGCACCUCAUGACAAUAUCCAGCUGGGAUGAUGAGGG
Molecule: long non-coding RNA, 2765 nt
Filed under: Heterocephalus glaber (naked mole-rat)
Lineage: Eukaryota; Metazoa; Chordata; Mammalia; Rodentia; Bathyergidae
Description: lncRNA (ENSHGLG00000047385.1)
Source: RNAcentral